RNAcentral lists this ribosomal RNA (964 nucleotides) under Ancyrocephalinae gen. sp. 26 IBC-2015. RNAcentral describes it as "eukaryotic LSU rRNA". It matches the Rfam family "Eukaryotic large subunit ribosomal RNA", at positions 82 to 798 of the family's 3401-position model. Lineage: Eukaryota; Metazoa; Platyhelminthes; Monogenea; Dactylogyridea; Dactylogyridae. The record is from RNAcentral.
AGUAACGGCGAGUGAACGGAGAUUAGCCCAGCACCGAAGCCUGUUCAUGUAUGUGGACAAGGCAAUGUGGUGUUCAGGCAUGCAUCUUGGAUGGCUCGACUGCUCGAAGUCCAACUCCGAUUAUGGCUUUGGAUUUGUCCCAUAGAGGGUGAAAGGCCCGUUCGAGUAGUCAUGUUGUUUUUGAGCUGUCCUUAGAUAUGCGUGCUCUGGAGUCGGAUUGCUUGAGAAUGCAGUCCAAAGUGGGUGGUAAACUCCAUCCAAGGCUAAAUACUGGCACGAGUCCGAUAGUAGACAAGUACCGUGAGGGAAAGUUGAAAAGUACUCUGAAGAGAGAGUAAAUAGUACGUGAAGCCGACUGAAUGGAAGCUGGUGGAGUCAAGCUUCUAGCUUGCGGAAUUGACGCAGAGACCUUGCUGGUUAAGGAGUCUAGCUGGACUGGCUUUCAAAUAGCUGGGUACCUUGGUACCUUAUGUUGUCUGGGCUGGUCGCAUUUGUCUUGCUAUGAUCUCCAGUCUCUUGUGUUAUUUCUUCUUGCUUGGAUCACGGUCAAUGUUCUUGUAGUGUUAGUAUAUCUAACCGAGUUUGAGUGAGCCUUUGGCUUAUUUGAUUCGGGAUGGCAGGAGGUGACUGUUAGGCUUUGCUUAUCGGUCAUGUAUAGUGGUUUAGACCUGCUGAUGUACUUUCUGUUAAUACUAUCAAGUUCAUUGUUUCUAUAUCGGCAGUAUCCUUAAUAAGCUUCUGUCGUGAGAGCCGUGGUUUUGAAGUAGAUUUUCCACCGGACCCGUCUUGAAACACGGACCAAGGAGUUUAACUUGCUCGCGAGUCAUUGGAUUCUUGUGAAAUCCGAAGGCGCAAUGAAAGUAAACGGUUGCAUUCGUAGCCGAAGGUGAUCUUGGUUUACCUUGACUAAGGUCCGGAGCGUACACGGCCCGUCUUUAAAUGUAGUCAUGCUUGCUACAGCUUG